GACGAACGCCGGCGGCGUGCCUAAUACAUGCAAGUAGAACGCUGAAGAGAGGAGCUUGCUCUUCUUGGAUGAGUUGCGAACGGGUGAGUAACGCGUAGGUAACCUGCCUUGUAGCGGGGGAUAACUAUUGGAAACGAUAGCUAAUACCGCAUAACAAUAGGUGACACAUGUCAUUUAUUUGAAAGGGGCAAUUGCUCCACUACAAGAUGGACCUGCGUUGUAUUAGCUAGUAGGUGAGGUAACGGCUCACCUAGGCGACGAUACAUAGCCGACCUGAGAGGGUGAUCGGCCACACUGGGACUGAGACACGGCCCAGACUCCUACGGGAGGCAGCAGUAGGGAAUCUUCGGCAAUGGGGGCAACCCUGACCGAGCAACGCCGCGUGAGUGAAGAAGGUUUUCGGAUCGUAAAGCUCUGUUGUAAGUCAAGAACGAGUGUGAGAGUGGAAAGUUCACACUGUGACGGUAGCUUACCAGAAAGGGACGGCUAACUACGUGCCAGCAGCCGCGGUAAUACGUAGGUCCCGAGCGUUGUCCGGAUUUAUUGGGCGUAAAGCGAGCGCAGGCGGUUUGAUAAGUCUGAAGUUAAAGGCUGUGGCUCAACCAUAGUUCGCUUUGGAAACUGUCAAACUUGAGUGCAGAAGGGGAGAGUGGAAUUCCAUGUGUAGCGGUGAAAUGCGUAGAUAUAUGGAGGAACACCGGUGGCGAAAGCGGCUCUCUGGUCUGUAACUGACGCUGAGGCUCGAAAGCGUGGGGAGCGAACAGGAUUAGAUACCCUGGCAGUCCACGCCGUAAACGAUGAGUGCUAGGUGUUGGAUCCUUUCCGGGAUUCAGUGCCGCAGCUAACGCAUUAAGCACUCCGCCUGGGGAGUACGACCGCAAGGUUGAAACUCAAAGGAAUUGACGGGGGCCCGCACAAGCGGUGGAGCAUGUGGUUUAAUUCGAAGCAACGCGAAGAACCUUACCAGGUCUUGACAUCCCGAUGCUAUUUCUAGAGAUAGAAAGUUACUUCGGUACAUCGGUGACAGGUGGUGCAUGGUUGUCGUCAGCUCGUGUCGUGAGAUGUUGGGUUAAGUCCCGCAACGAGCGCAACCCCUAUUGUUAGUUGCCAUCAUUCAGUUGGGCACUCUAGCGAGACUGCCGGUAAUAAACCGGAGGAAGGUGGGGAUGACGUCAAAUCAUCAUGCCCCUUAUGACCUGGGCUACACACGUGCUACAAUGGUUGGUACAACGAGUUGCGAGUCGGUGACGGCAAGCUAAUCUCUUAAAGCCAAUCUCAGUUCGGAUUGUAGGCUGCAACUCGCCUACAUGAAGUCGGAAUCGCUAGUAAUCGCGGAUCAGCACGCCGCGGUGAAUACGUUCCCGGGCCU
RNAcentral lists this ribosomal RNA (1369 nucleotides) under uncultured bacterium. RNAcentral's name for it is "bacterial SSU rRNA". It matches the Rfam family "Bacterial small subunit ribosomal RNA", at positions 28 to 1381 of the family's 1533-position model. The record is from RNAcentral.